RNAcentral lists this ribosomal RNA (253 nucleotides) under uncultured bacterium. Its description in RNAcentral is "partial 16S ribosomal RNA". It matches the Rfam family "Bacterial small subunit ribosomal RNA", at positions 524 to 776 of the family's 1533-position model. The record is from RNAcentral.
UACGUAGGCAGCAAGCGUUGUUCGGAGUUACUGGGUGUAAAGGGUUCGUAGGCGGUGCGGCAAGUUGGGAGUGAAAUCUCUGGGCUUAACCCAGAGGCUGCUUCCAAAACUGCUGUGCUUGAGUGUGGGAGAGGCGCGUGGAAUUGCAGGUGUAGCGGUGAAAUGCGUAGAUAUCUGCAGGAACACCCGUGGCGAAAGCGGCGCGCUGGACCACUACUGACGCUGAGGAACGAAAGCUAGGGGAGCAAACAGG